Molecule: non-coding RNA, 355 nt
Organism: Pogona vitticeps (central bearded dragon)
Lineage: Eukaryota; Metazoa; Chordata; Lepidosauria; Squamata; Agamidae
Source: RefSeq, a predicted model, not a curated record
CACAGAUUAAUAUGGCUAAUUCUUUGAAACCUAUCAGUUUGAACACCAUGUACUAAAAUCUGGAAUCUACAUUUCUGUUCUACUUAGAACCUGGGUGGCCAACUGUAGGUCUCCGGGUAUUGUUGAACUACAGCUCACCUCAAGUCUACUCAGCAUCACCAACUAACUGAUGAUGAGCCAAGAAGCGCCAGGUUCUGAUGUCACCUCAGCAAUGAACUUUCAAGCUGAAGAUUUUAACAGAAUUUAUUCAUCAUGUUGACGACACAUCAAGAAUCUGCAAACUGCAGUGUUAAGUCCUGCUUAUUUAGCACUGUGAUACGUGCCUGCCUUUUUCCUGGAUGCUGUAUAAAGGACA